UACGUAGGCAGCGAGCGUUGUUCGGAGUUACUGGGCGUAAAGCGUGCGUCGGCGGUGUCUUAAGUUUGUUGUGAAAUCUCCCGGCUUAACCGGGAGGGUGCGGCGAAUACUGAGAUGCUGGAGUGCCGGAGAGGUAAGCGGAAUUCCUGGUGUAGCGGUGAAAUGCGUAGAUAUCAGGAGGAACACCUGCGGUGUAGACGGCUUACUGGACGGUAACUGACGCUGAGGCACGAAAGCGUGGGUAGCAAACAGG
RNAcentral lists this ribosomal RNA (253 nucleotides) under uncultured bacterium. RNAcentral's name for it is "partial 16S ribosomal RNA". It matches the Rfam family "Bacterial small subunit ribosomal RNA", at positions 524 to 776 of the family's 1533-position model. The record is from RNAcentral.